GGCCUCCCUCUGUGGAGCGAUUGAUCGUGGGGCCCCCAGAUCGAUCGCCCCGUAGAGGGGGGCC
This 64-nucleotide microRNA precursor is filed under the name Myotis lucifugus (little brown bat). RNAcentral's name for it is "mir-9242 microRNA precursor family". It matches the Rfam family "mir-9242 microRNA precursor family". Lineage: Eukaryota; Metazoa; Chordata; Mammalia; Chiroptera; Vespertilionidae. The record is from Rfam by way of RNAcentral.